CGGUUGGAAAGUUCGUCCCUAACCUGAUCGUAAUAUGACCUCUGUCUCUUCUCCUCAUUGGUACUUGCUUCCCCUUGAGUCAACUUGAGACAAGUUUUAUCUUUCGUGUGACAGCCCUUGAAGUAUCUGAAGAGAGCUGCCUCCAACUUCAUCUCUAGGCUCCUCUCAUGCUCCUCAUGUCACUCCCUCAGAGCAGCCCACUUGAUGAGUUCAGCUACAAUUGACCAUCCUUUUCGGUUACUCUGUCAAUCAUCUUGUUUGUUUUCUUCAAGUGCUUUUCACAGUCAGAAGUUGUCUUGCUCAUGUAUUUAUUUUUAUUUUAUUUUUUUUGCUAUUUCUUGGGCCGCUCCCAUGGCAUAUGGAGGUUCGCAGGCUAGGGGUCCAAUCGGAGCUGUAGCUGCCGGCCUACACCAGAGCCACAGCAACGCAGGAUCCAAGCCACAUCUGUGACCUACACCACAGCUCACGGCAACGCCGGAUCCUUAACUCACUGAGCAAGGCCAGGGAUCGAACCCGCAACCUCAUGGUUCCUAGUCGGAUUCGUUAACCACUGCGCCACCACGGGAACUCCUAUUUAUUUCUUAAUUAUGGACUCUAAUAUAAGCUCUUUGAAGGCAGGGAUCGUCGUGUCUGCCUUGAUUAUUACUGAAUCUCUUGUACCUAGAACUGUGACUAGCAAGGCCUCAACAAAUACGGGUUGAUUGUUAAAUGAGUCAGUGAACAAACCUGAAUCCAGUCUUUCAACCAUUCCAUUUCUUUGGUUCAGGUAACUAAGUAGCUUUGUUCUAGACACAGCAAUGGAGAAUAAAGAAGCUAAAUUAGAGCAAGGAACACUUACUGGCCAUUUCCUUUUCUUACUCCUUUGAAUACAGUGUGGUACUGAGAGAAAAGAAAAAGUGCUGACAGGACCGAGAUUCUUAGGUGAUACCUGCUGAUAAUAUCUCACUGUCUGGCUUUGAAAAAGUCUCUCCACGUUCUGGAGCUUUGGUUUCUCAUACAGAAAACUCAGAAGGCAGACAGCUUGUUCUUGAUGGUGCCCUGGGGCUCAGAAAUUCUCUCAAUGGAAGUAGAAAUGCCAAAAAAGAAGCCCCAUAUGACUCAAAUGCACUGAAGAUGUGAUCAUCAGCAAAUGGUCAGUGGUACCCAAACUUGGAUGCACAUUUGAAUCACCCAAGAGGUAUCCUAUUAAAUCAACUUGACUGAGGUGCAAUUUAUAUGCAAUCAAGUGCACAUAAUUUAAAAUGUAGUUAGAUGAGUUUUGACAAAUGUAUACUGCCCCGUUGCAGUCAGUCCACUGUUUAACCCACUUCCCUAUUCAACCACCAGUCUGAUUUCUAUCAGCACAGAUAGUUGUGUUUAUUUUAGCACUUCACAUAUAUAUAAUCACAUAGUGUAAUAUAUACAUAUUAUCAUAAUGAUGUAGUGUUUACUCUUUUGUGUCUUGCCUCUUUUGCUCAGAAAAUUGUUGUUGAUAUUUCAUCCAUGUUGUUUCUUAUGUCAGUAGUGUUAUUUAUAUAGCUGAGUAAUUGCCCAUUCUAGAAAACUUCUUGGGGUCCCCCUCAUGGCUCAGUGGUUAACAAAUCUGACUAGGAAUCAUGAAGUUGCAGGUUUGAUCCCUGGCCUCACUCGGUGGGUUAAGGAUCCAGCGUUGCCAUGAGCUGUGGUGUAGGUCAAAGACAUGGCCCAGAUCCUGCGUUGCUGUGGCUACAGCAACAAUUAGAACCCUAGCCUGGGAACUUCCAUAUGUCGCGGGUGCAGCCCUAGAAAAGCCAAAAAGACAAAAUAUAGAAAUAGAAAAAUAGAAAACUUCUUCAGUAUCUCUGACAUCGAAGUCCAGAAGUCUCCGUAUUUAACAUGCUUUAGAAGGAAUGCGUAUGCAGAAGUUGGGCUUAGGAACCUUUUAAUUAGGGAAUUUCCCUCCUCAAGUUCAAAUAGUUCCCACACAAGGCGACUGUUUGCAUGCUGAGUAUAAGUUGGUCACAGGUUCUGUGCAGGUCCGAGAGCUCUUGUUUCUCUAGGACUCUCAGGAAGAUCCGUGGUCCUCCUGGUGCCUGUAACAAAUCCCAGGGUGAGCUCUGCAAAUAUUCUUUUAGCUCGAAGGCACCUGUGAAUUGAGUUACGAGUCUCAGUGUCCACAGGUAAGUCCAUAAUCUUCAUCUAUAAACGCUCACCUCUGUCACAGAGAAGCGGAGGUGCUGUGGGCGGCCUUGCAUUUCAGCCCAGCUGCUGGAAUUACUCAUGACAGUUUUAUGAGUUGUUUUACUGUCUGGUAAAGGUUUUUUCCUUUUUUUUUCUUAACAUAUGAGGGAAGCAUUUUUUGACCGUAGCCCACAAGCGCCACCUUCAGGAGGGAAAUAUAACAUUCUGUUAGGUCACAGGGACCCAGUUUCUUUUCCUGCAAAAAAAGUCUUAAGAUCAAGAUACAGUUUCUGUGUUCAUAAAAUUCCAUUCCAUAUUUUAAAGAGAUGGACUUUAUUUUUCAGGGCGGCUUUAGGUUCAUGGAAAAAUUAAGCAGAAUGUAGAGAGGCCUCCCAUCUAUCCUCUCUCAUUUAUGUACAAUAUUCCAUACCAGAGUAGGACAUUUGCUGCAACAGAUGAGCCUCCAUCGCUAGCUCCCACACUCCAAAGUUUAGAUUAGGUUUCACUCUUGGUGUCAUAUAUGUUAUGGGUUUGGACAAAUGAAUAAUGACAUGUAUUCACCAUUAUUAUUUCAUGUAUCAUACAGAGUAAUCGCACCAUCCAAAAAUCCCCUGUGCUCUGCUUGUAUAUCCUUCCUUCCUCUUGAACCCUUGCCAAACACUGAUCCAUUUACAAUUCCUAUAAUUUUACAGAAUGUGGAUUAUACAGUAUGUAGCCUUUUAAGACUGGCUUCUUUCACUCAGUAGUAUGAAUUUAAUGUUCCUUAAUGUCUUUUCACGGCUUGAUAGCUCAUUUCUUUUUACCUCUGAAUCAUAUGCCAUUGUUUGGAUAUAUCACAGUUUAUUUAUCCAUUCUCCUACUGAAGGGCAUCUUUGUUGCUUCCAAGCUUUGGCAAUCACAAACAAAACCAUCGUAAACAACAGCGUGUAAGGUUUUUGCAUGAACAAAUGUUUUCAACUCCUUUGGAUAAUACUAAGGAGCACCAUUGCUAGAUCGUAUGGCAAGAGUAUGUUUAGUUUUGUAAGAAAUUAUCACACUGUCUUUUACAGUAGAAGUGCCAUUUUGCAUUCCCACCAGAAUGAAUUAGAGUUCCUGUUGCUUCACAUUCUCACCAGCAUUUGGUGGUGUCAUUGUUUUGCAAUGGCAUUGUGUGGCAAUACUAAUGAGUAUGUAGUGGUAUCUCAUUGUUAUUUUAAUUUGCAAUUCCUUAAUGACAUAUGCUUAAUUAUAUGCUUAAUUUUCAUCUCUAUAUCUUCUUUAAUGAGAUGUCUACUCAAGUCUUUUGCCCACUUUUAAAACUGGGCUGUUUAUUUUCUUAUUGUUGAGUUCUCAGAGUUUGUUGGAUAUUUUGAGUGAAAUAUUUGCAAAUAUUUUCCUCCAGUCUGUAGCUUAUCUUUUCAUUCUCUUCAUGGUGGUCUUUUGCAGGCUGAAAGCUUUUAAUUUUUUUUUUUUUAGGGCCAUACCUGCAGCAUAUGGAGGUUCACAGGCUAGGGGUUACAUUGGAGCUAUAGCUGCCGGCCUAUGCCAAAGUCACAGCAACACGGGACCCAAGGAACAUCUGCAACGGACACCACAGCUCACAGCAACGCUGGAUCCUUAACCCACUGAGCAAGGCCAGGGAUCGAACCCGCAUCCUCUGGAUGCUAGCUGUGUUGCUAACUGCUGAGCCACGAUGGGAAUGCCUAAAAGCUUUUAAUUUUAAUGAAGUCCAGCUUAUCAAUUAUUCUUUCACAGAUCUUAACUUACGGUGUUAUAUCUAAAAAGUCAUCAUCAUACCCAAGCUCAUCUAGGUUUUCUCCUAUGUUAUCAUCUGGGAGUUUUAUAGUUUUACAUUUAGAUCUAUGAUCCAUUUUGAGUUAGUUUUUGUGAAAAGUAUAAGGCCUUUGUCCAGAUCCAGUAUUUUCAUGUUGAUGUCUGCUUAUUUCAGCACCAUGUGUUGCAAAGAUGAUCAUUUCUCCAUUGUAUCAUCUUGCUCCUUUGUCAAAGAUCAGUUGACUAUGUUAUGUGGGUCUAUUUCUAAACUCUCUGUUCUGUUCCAUUGAUCUAUUUGUCUCUUCUUUUGCCAAUACCACACUGUCUUGAUUACUGCACUUUUAUAGUAAAGGUUGAAAUUGGGUAGUUUGCUCUCUGAUUUUGUUCUAUAAUAUUCUGGGUCUUUUCCCUCUCCGUAUAAACUUUAGAAUCAGUUUGCCAACAUUUGCAGAAUAACUUGCUGGGAUUUUGAUCUGAAUUGUAUUAAAUCUAUAGACCAAAUUGGGAAGAGCUGACAUCUUGACAAUAUUGAGUCUCCCCAUCUAUGAACAUGUAACAUCUCUCAAUUUAUUUUGUUCUUUCAUCAGAGUUUUGUGGUUUUUCUCAUAUAGAUCUUGUAUUUUGUUACCUUUAUACCUAAGGAUUUUAUUUUUUGGAGUACUAAUGUAAAUGGUAUCGUGUCUUAAAAUUCAAGUUCCACUUGUUUAUAGGAAAGCAAUUGAUUUUUGUAUAUUAAUCUUGUAUCUUGCAACCUUGCUAACAUUGCUUAUUGGUUCCGGAGUGUUUUUGUCAGUUUCAGACUUUUUGCAUAGAUGAUCAUGUCAUCUAUGAACAAAGACAAUUUUGUUUCUUGUUUUCCAAUUUAUAUUCCGUCUGUCUCAUUGCAUUAACUAGCACUGACACAACAAUGUUGAAAAAGAGUGGUGAGAUAAGACAUUCUUGUCUUGUACCCAAUCUUAGUAGGAAAUCUUCUAGUCCCAUCAUUAAGCAUGAGAGAUGUAUUGUUUUUGCAGAUGUCCAUAAUCUGUAUGAAUAACCAUAAUUUUAAUCUGUUUUGUGUGAGUAUCGUAAGUCUUUUGAAAUAUUACUUAGAAGUGGAACAAUAGGCACUCAGGUAAUGCUGAACUAUGAAAGCAAGUUUACCAGAUAUCACUUUUAUAAAAAUGUGCUUUAAAUCAACUAGCUAAAGAAAAUCGUUCAUAAGUAGUUUCACACUAAACUCCAGAAAACAUAGGUUCCUCUGGCUGGUCUUUAGUCUAUGUGUUGUUAAAUACAUUCUUUCCUAACUGACCAUAAUUAAAUGUUAUGGAUUCUACCACUAUGAUCUAUAUUUUGUUCACCAUUAGUUUCAUGAUGGUUUCAAUAAUUACAUCUUUCAACCUUUUUUGUGUGGCUAGCACUAUACUAAAAUACAAAGAAGUUUAAGUCAGAGUGUCCUACUUCUAGGGACUUAAAGAUCUAUUAAGGGGUCAAGAGAGACAUUAGGAACAGCCAAGAGACAAUGCAAAGCAGAGUAUAAUUAAUCAUCAAAAUGAGAGAUGUUGGUUAUAAGGGCAAAAGAAGUGCAGGAUACGGAAGACAAUGUGGACGAGAGAUAUUAUGGAAGAUAUUAGAAAACAGUAAGAAGUUAGUUCUCAUAGGGUAGGCUGGAUUGACAAAUGUGAAAGCAAGAGGGAAAGGUAUUUCUUCCAGGUAUCUGGUCAGCAUGAGCAAUGGCUUGGAGUUGGGAAUGAGCAUGAUAUGACUAAGAACAGUAGAAGCAGAGCAUGAAAAGAAUGGUCAUGGAGCUUAGAUGAAUCCAUGCAGGUAAGUAUCUCCUUAAGGUGUGUUGGUUGGUGAUUUUAUUUUCUCUAAUGAUAAAGGAGGGGAACUUUACACUUUUACAGAACAAUAACAACCAUGAUUUAGUUUAAGUUUGUACUGUGCAUUUUAAGUAAUUGUAGGAAUAUGACAGGAUGACCAAAACUGCCCCUCCCUUUAGGGUUGUUGGGUUACAAUGUGGUCUUUCCCUCUUUCCCCCUACAGUUUUGGAAGGCAGUGAGAGAACCAGCCUGGAACAGUGGGCUGCUGCAUUUGCAGGUUGGAUGAAGGCAGAUGCUUGGGCCCAUUGAUAAUGUUUGCCUUCUGUUAUUUGAGUUUUCCUCUGACUCCCUCCCGGAAAGUAAGGCGCUAUUCACCCAAAGAAUGAAAGCCCCUUUACUAUCAUUGUAAAGACAGAAUUGGCUGCUGCAUCUAUAGAGAAGUGCUUAGUAUACCAUAUAUGUGCAACUUUGGAGUUCGUGCUACUUUCAGUUGAGCCCCAGUUUUCUAUCUGUUCAAUAACUGGAAAUUUCCUGCGAGUGUGGCUUAUCAUUAUCAUGUUUUAGUGACAGCGAGGAGCCUGCAUCACAGAGCCUUGUUGUUUUAAUGCUCCAGGUUGCUUCUGCUAACCCUCUGAGGAGUAAGACGGUGGAAUGCAAAGGUUACUGGUGCUCUCUGGGGUCAGAGUGCACACAGGGCUAGUAUUGAUCAUCUCCCUGGUUCCUACCCUACUCUGGGGAAGUUUAACAGUCACAGUAGCCACUGCAAAGCUACAUAAAGGUUUCAACAUCAACUUUCCAAAGCUUAAAAAAGGCAGGCAGGGCUGUAUUUCUCUCUCUCUUCAUAGUGCUCAUCAUUUAUAAAUCUUUCACUCUG
Molecule: long non-coding RNA, 6567 nt
Filed under: Sus scrofa (pig)
Lineage: Eukaryota; Metazoa; Chordata; Mammalia; Artiodactyla; Suidae
Description: lncRNA (ENSSSCG00000046050.1)
Source: RNAcentral